This 24-nucleotide microRNA is filed under the name Branchiostoma floridae (Florida lancelet). RNAcentral's name for it is "bfl-miR-4906". The record is from miRBase by way of RNAcentral. Lineage: Eukaryota; Metazoa; Chordata; Leptocardii; Amphioxiformes; Branchiostomatidae.
UGUUCCAAAUGUGAAGAAUGUUGU